RNAcentral lists this non-coding RNA (29 nucleotides) under Mus musculus (house mouse). Lineage: Eukaryota; Metazoa; Chordata; Mammalia; Rodentia; Muridae. The record is from RNAcentral.
UACUAAUCCACAAACAUUGCUCUUAAUCC